GACGAACGCUGGCGGCGUGCUUAACACAUGCAAGUCGAACGGAAAGGCCCUGCUUUUGUGGGGUGCUCGAGUGGCGAACGGGUGAGUAACACGUGAGUAACCUGCCCUUGACUUUGGGAUAACUUCAGGAAACUGGGGCUAAUACCGGAUAGGAGCUCCUGCUGCAUGGUGGGGGUUGGAAAGUUUGGGCGGUUGGGGAUGGACUCGCGGCUUAUCAGCUUGUUGGUGGGGUAGCGGCUUACCAAGGCUUUGACGGGUAGCCGGCCUGAGAGGGUGACCGGCCACAUUGGGACUGGGAUACGGCCCGGACUCCUACGGGAGGCAGCAGUGGGGAAUAUUGCACAAUGGGCGGAAGCCUGAUGCAGCAACGCCGCGUGCGGGAUGACGGCCUUCGGGUUGUAAACCGCUUUCGCCUGUGACGAAGCGUGAGUGACGGUAAUGGGUAAAGAAGCACCGGCUAACUACGUG
RNAcentral lists this ribosomal RNA (468 nucleotides) under uncultured bacterium. RNAcentral's name for it is "partial 16S ribosomal RNA". It matches the Rfam family "Bacterial small subunit ribosomal RNA", at positions 28 to 507 of the family's 1533-position model. The record is from RNAcentral.